UACACUCCUGCGGGAGGCAGCAGUGGGGAAUAUUGCACAAUGGGCGCAAGCCUGAUGCAGCCAUGCCGCGUGUAUGAAGAAGGCCUUCGGGUUGUAAAGUACUUUCAGCGGGGAGGAAGGUGUUGAGGUUAAUAACCUCAGCAAUUGACGUUACCCGCAGAAGAAGCACCGGCUAACUCCGUGCCAGCAGCCGCGGUAAUACGGAGGGUGCAAGCGUUAAUCGGAAUUACUGGGCGUAAAGCGCACGCAGGCGGUCUGUCAAGUCGGAUGUGAAAUCCCCGGGCUCAACCUGGGAACUGCAUUCGAAACUGGCAGGCUAGAGUCUUGUAGAGGGGGGUAGAAUUCCAGGUGUAGCGGUGAAAUGCGUAGAGAUCUGGAGGAAUACCGGUGGCGAAGGCGGCCCCCUGGACAAAGACUGACGCUCAGGUGCGAAAGCGUGGGGAGCAAACAGGAUUAGAAACCCUAGUAGUCCCAUG
Molecule: ribosomal RNA, 476 nt
Filed under: uncultured organism
Description: partial 16S ribosomal RNA
Rfam family: Bacterial small subunit ribosomal RNA
Source: RNAcentral